UAAUACGUAGGGGGCGAGCGUUGUCCGGAAUUACUGGGCGUAAAGGGCGCCUAGGCGGUUUGAUAAGUCCGCUGUGAAAGACCGAGGCUCAACCUCGGGGUGUCAGCGGAGACUGUUAGACUGGAGUAUCGGAGAGGAGUGCGGAAUACCUGGUGUAGCGGUGGAAUGCGUAGAUAUCAGGUGGAACACCGAUGGCGAAGGCAGCACUCUGGCCGAAUACUGACGCUGAAGCGCGAAAGCUGGGGGAGCGAACGGGAUUAGAUACCCCGGUAGUCCCAGCCGUAAACGAUGUCGACUAGGUGUGGGGGGAUCACUCCCUCCGUGCCGCAGCUCACGCAUGAAGUCGACCGCCUGGGGAGUACGGCCGCAAGGUUG
RNAcentral lists this ribosomal RNA (375 nucleotides) under uncultured bacterium. RNAcentral describes it as "bacterial SSU rRNA". It matches the Rfam family "Bacterial small subunit ribosomal RNA", at positions 521 to 896 of the family's 1533-position model. The record is from RNAcentral.